Molecule: ribosomal RNA, 274 nt
Filed under: uncultured bacterium
Lineage: Bacteria
Description: partial 16S ribosomal RNA
Rfam family: Bacterial small subunit ribosomal RNA
Source: RNAcentral
AUACGGAGGGUCCAAGCGUUAUCCGGAUUCAUUGGGUUUAAAGGGUUCGUAGGCGGAUAAAUAAGUCAGUGGUGAAAUCCCGAAGCUCAACUUCGGAACUGCCAUUGAAACUGUUUAUCUUGAAUUUAGUUGAAGUGGGCGGAAUAUGACAUGUAGCGGUGAAAUGCAUAGAUAUGUCAUGGAACACCAAUAGUGAAGACAGCUCACUAAGCUAAUAUUGACGCUGAUGAACGAAAGCAUGGGUAGCGAACAGGAUUAGAUACCCUAGUAGUCC